RNAcentral lists this ribosomal RNA (292 nucleotides) under uncultured bacterium. RNAcentral's name for it is "partial 16S ribosomal RNA". It matches the Rfam family "Archaeal small subunit ribosomal RNA", at positions 455 to 747 of the family's 1478-position model. The record is from RNAcentral.
GUGCCAGCCGCCGCGGUAAUACCGGCAGCUCGAGUGAUGUCCAAUAUUAUUGGGCCUAAAGCGUCCGUAGCUGGCCGCGCAAGUCCGUCGGGAAAUCCACCUGCCCAACAGGUGGGCGUCCGGCGGAAACUGUGUGGCUUGGAACCGGAAGGCUCAGAGGGUACGUCCGGGGUAGGAGUGAAAUCCUGUAAUCCCGCUCGGACCGCCGAUGGGGAAACCACCUCAGGAGAACGGAUCCGACAGUGAGGGACGAAAGCCAGGGUCUCGAACCGGAUUAGAACCCCAGUAGUCC